GACGAACGCUGGCGGCGUGCCUAAUACAUGCAAGUCGAACGCUUCUUUCCUCCCGAUUGCUUGCACUCAAUUGGAAAGAGGAGUGGCGGACGGGUGAGUAACACGUGGUUAACCUACCCAUUAGAGUGGGAUAACACUUGGAAACAGGUGCUAAUACCUCAUAACAGUUUAUGCCGCAUGGCAUGAGAGUGAAAGGCUCUUUCGGGUGUCGCUGAUGGAUGGACUCGCGGUGCAUUAGCUAGUUGGUGAGGUAACGGCUCACCAAGGCAACGAUGCAUAGCCGACCUGAGAGGGUGAUCGGCCACACUGGAACUGAGACACGGCCCAGACUCCUACGGGAGGCAGCAGUAGGGAAUCUUCGGCAAUGGACGAAAGUCUGACCGAGCAACGCCGCGUGAGUGAAGAAGGUUUUCGGAUCGUAAAACUCUGUUAUUAGAGAAGAACAAGGACGUAAGUAACUGAACGUCCCCUGACGGUACCUAACCAGAAAGCCACGGCUAACUACGUG
This 508-nucleotide ribosomal RNA is filed under the name uncultured bacterium. Its description in RNAcentral is "partial 16S ribosomal RNA". It matches the Rfam family "Bacterial small subunit ribosomal RNA", at positions 28 to 507 of the family's 1533-position model. The record is from RNAcentral.